AAAAGAAUAAAAUAUAUCAUAACAAGUAUCUAUUAGAAAUUUAAAAUUAGUUAAGGAAACCGUACUACGCAACGGAUUCAUUUAUCUUCUUUAUAAAUAAUUAAUAAGUAAUUAAAUAUAUUUUUUAUAAAAUAAAUAAUAAUAUAUUUUAAUUAAUUAAAUAAAAAAAAUUUAGAUAUAUUUUCACAUGCGAUUAAUUGUAUCAGAUAUGCAAUUUUUUAUUAUAAUAAUAAUGCUGAUCUUAACACCCGUUUGGAUUCAGAUUGUAAAUUCAUAAGUUUGUGUUUUAAUUAUAAUAAAAUUUUAAAAUAUAUAAUUAUUUAUGCCUAAUUUUUUAAUAUUUUAGAUUGUAUGUAUUGAAUAUUAAUUUUAAUUUUAUAAUUAUUUAGAUAUAAAUAAUCUAUUUUUAUAAAAAAGAAUACAAUUAAGUUUUU
This 434-nucleotide long non-coding RNA is filed under the name Ananas comosus (pineapple). Its description in RNAcentral is "long non-coding RNA (ACOM_LNC018565)". The record is from RNAcentral. Lineage: Eukaryota; Viridiplantae; Streptophyta; Magnoliopsida; Poales; Bromeliaceae.